Molecule: ribosomal RNA, 292 nt
Filed under: uncultured bacterium
Lineage: Bacteria
Description: partial 16S ribosomal RNA
Rfam family: Bacterial small subunit ribosomal RNA
Source: RNAcentral
GUGCCAGCCGCCGCGGUAAUACGGAGGGUGCAAGCGUUAAUCGGAAUUACUGGGCGUAAAGCGUACGUAGGCGGCCUGUUAAGCAAGAUGUGAAAGCCCCAGGCUCAACCUGGGAAUGGCAUUUUGAACUGGCAGGCUCGAGUUCUGAAGAGGGUGGUAGAAUUUCCAGUGUAGCGGUGAAAUGCGUAGAUAUUGGAAGGAAUACCAGUGGCGAAGGCGGCCACCUGGUCAGAAACUGACGCUGAGGUACGAAAGCGGGGGGAGCAAACAGGAUUAGAAACCCCGGUAGUCC